UCGGUAUGUACUGGCUUUACUGAUUCCUCCUUCUUGACGAACCGUGAUGUCAUUAAUUUGGUGUUGCGGGAAAUCAGGACUGUUACUUUGAAAAAAUUAGAGUGUUUAAAGCAGGCUAACGCUUGAAUACAUUAGCAUGGAAUAAUGAAAUAGGACGUUAAUCCUAUUUUGUUGGUUUCUAGGAUCGACAUAAUGAUUAAUAGGGAUAGUUGGGGGCAUUAGUAUUCAAUUGUCAGAGGUGAAAUUCUUGGAUUUAUUGAAGACUAACUACUGCGAAAGCAUUUGCCAAGGAUGUUUUCAUUAAUCAAGAACGAAAGUUAGGGGAUCGAAGACGAUCAGAUACCGUCGUAGUCUUAACCAUAAACUAUGCCAACAAGGGAUCGGAUGAUGUUAUUUUUAAGGACUC
Molecule: ribosomal RNA, 406 nt
Filed under: uncultured Glomeromycotina
Lineage: Eukaryota; Fungi; Glomeromycota
Description: SSU rRNA
Rfam family: Eukaryotic small subunit ribosomal RNA
Source: RNAcentral